UGGGGAAUAUUGCACAAUGGAGGGAACUCUGAUGCAGCGACGCCGCGUGAACGAAGAAGGCUUUCGAGUCGUAAAGUUCUUUUAUAUGGGAAGAUAAUGACGGUACCAUAAGAAAAAGCCCCGGCUAACUACGUGCUAGCAGCCGCGGUAAUACGUAGGGGGCUAGCGUUGUCCGGAAUCACUGGGCGUAAAGGGUUCGCAGGCGGAAAUGCAAGUCAGGUGUAAAAGGCAGUAGCUUAACUACUGUAAGCAUUUGAAACUGCAUAUCUUGAGAAGAGUAGAGGUAAGUGGAAUUUUUAGUGUAGCGGUGAAAUGCGUAGAUAUUAAAAAGAAUACCGGUGGCGAAGGCGACUUACUGGGCUCAUUCUGACGCUGAGGAACGAAAGCGUGGGUAGCAAACAGG
Molecule: ribosomal RNA, 403 nt
Filed under: Verrucomicrobiota bacterium
Lineage: Bacteria; Pseudomonadati; Verrucomicrobiota
Also listed under: 1 other name
Description: Verrucomicrobia bacterium partial 16S ribosomal RNA
Rfam family: Bacterial small subunit ribosomal RNA
Source: RNAcentral